AACGCUUCUUUUUCCACCGGAGCUUGCUCCACCGGAAAAAGAGGAGUGGCGAACGGGUGAGUAACACGUGGGUAACCUGCCCAUCAGAAGGGGAUAACACUUGGAAACAGGUGCUAAUACCGUAUAACAAUCGAAACCGCAUGGUUUUGAUUUGAAAGGCGCUUUCGGGUGUCGCUGAUGGAUGGACCCGCGGUGCAUUAGCUAGUUGGUGAGGUAACGGCUCACCAAGGCGACGAUGCAUAGCCGACCUGAGAGGGUGAUCGGCCACAUUGGGACUGAGACACGGCCCAAACUCCUACGGGAGGCAGCAGUAGGGAAUCUUCGGCAAUGGACGAAAGUCUGACCGAGCAACGCCGCGUGAGUGAAGAAGGUUUUCGGAUCGUAAAACUCUGUUGUUAGAGAAGAACAAGGAUGAGAGUAACUGUUCAUCCCUUGACGGUAUCUAUCCAGAAAGCCACGGCUAACUACGUGCCAGCAGCCGCGGUAAUACGUAGGUGGCAAGCGUUGUCCGGAUUUAUUGGGCGUAAAGCGAGCGCAGGCGGUUUCUUAAGUCUGAUGUGAAAGCCCCCGGCUCAACCGGGGAGGGUCAUUUGGAAACUGGGAGACUUGAGUGCAGAAGAGGAGAGUGGAAUUCCAUGUGUAGCGGUGAAAUGCGUA
RNAcentral lists this ribosomal RNA (657 nucleotides) under Enterococcus hirae. RNAcentral's name for it is "bacterial SSU rRNA". It matches the Rfam family "Bacterial small subunit ribosomal RNA", at positions 65 to 692 of the family's 1533-position model. The record is from RNAcentral. Lineage: Bacteria; Bacillati; Bacillota; Bacilli; Lactobacillales; Enterococcaceae.